GUUGGUGGUCAUAGUGAGGUGGCAAUACCCGUUCCCGUUCCGAACACGGAAGUCAAGCACCUUUACGUCGAUGAUACUGCAAUCCGCGGGAAAGUAGACAGCUGCCAACU
This 110-nucleotide ribosomal RNA is filed under the name Treponema sp. Lineage: Bacteria; Pseudomonadati; Spirochaetota; Spirochaetia; Treponematales; Treponemataceae. The record is from RNAcentral.